RNAcentral lists this ribosomal RNA (253 nucleotides) under uncultured bacterium. RNAcentral's name for it is "partial 16S ribosomal RNA". It matches the Rfam family "Bacterial small subunit ribosomal RNA", at positions 524 to 776 of the family's 1533-position model. The record is from RNAcentral.
UACGUAGGCAGCAAGCGUUGUUCGGAGUUACUGGGCGUAAAGAGUAUGUAGGCGGUUGGGUAAGUUUGGUGUGAAAUCUCCCGGCUUAACUGGGAGGGUGCGCUAAAGACUGCCUGGCUCGAGCGUGGGAGAGGAAAGCGGAAUUCCUGGUGUAGCGGUGAAAUGCGUAGAUAUCAGGAGGAACACCUGCGGUGUAGACGGCUUUCUGGACCAUAACUGACGCUGAGAUACGAAAGCGUGGGUAGCAAACAGG